RNAcentral lists this microRNA precursor (159 nucleotides) under Pelobates cultripes (western spadefoot toad). Lineage: Eukaryota; Metazoa; Chordata; Amphibia; Anura; Pelobatidae. The record is from RNAcentral.
GCUGACACAUCCCGGCCAAUCUCCAGCAGACCCUCCCUCCAAGGCCCUCCCACCUCCUGGACAGCAUCCAUUUUGAAGUCAGCUUCAACAUGGAUGCUGUCCAGGAGGUGGGAGGGUCUGGGAGAGAGGGUCUGCUGGAGAUUGGCCAGGAUGUGUCAG